This 366-nucleotide ribosomal RNA is filed under the name Triticum aestivum (bread wheat). Its description in RNAcentral is "partial small subunit ribosomal RNA". Lineage: Eukaryota; Viridiplantae; Streptophyta; Magnoliopsida; Poales; Poaceae. The record is from RNAcentral.
AUGAGUCUGUUAUGCUGGAACUGUCGAGGCUUGGGGUCGGACUCGACGGUUGGCGAGCUUCGCUGGUUAGUUAAGCUUCACCGCCCCACCCUCCUCUUUCUCUCUGAGGCAAAGAUGAGGGAUUCACGUGUCAGAAACUUUAUGUGGUCUCUAGGUUUUACCGGGUGUUUGGCCGUUAAUUCCGACGGCUUGAGUGGUGGUUUGGCUCUGUUUUGGACGGCGUCUGUUAAUGUUUCUCUCAAGGGGAGCAAUGCUCGAUGUAUUGAUGUUCUUGUUACUUCGGAGGCGGGCUCAACUUGGCGUGCUACCUUUGUGUACGGCGAACCGAGGAGAGAGAGGAUAGGCCACAAUUCUGGGAGUUGCUGA